CACGUAGGGCGCAAGCGUGUCCGGAAUUAUUGGGCGUAAAGAGCUCGUAGGCGGUCUGUUGCGUCCGCUGUGAAAACUCGGGGCUUAACCCCGAGCCUGCAGUGGAUACGGGCAGACUAGAGGUAGGUAGGGGAGAAUGGAAUUCCCGGUGUAGCGGUGAAAUGCGCAGAUAUCAGGAGGAACACCGGUGGCGAAGGCGGGUCUCUGGGCCGAUACUGACGCUGAGGAGCGAAAGCGUGGGGAGCGAACAGG
RNAcentral lists this ribosomal RNA (252 nucleotides) under uncultured bacterium. Its description in RNAcentral is "partial 16S ribosomal RNA". It matches the Rfam family "Bacterial small subunit ribosomal RNA", at positions 524 to 776 of the family's 1533-position model. The record is from RNAcentral.